UUUAUGGAGAGUUUGAUCCUGGCUCAGGAUGAACGCUGGCGGCGUGCCUAAUACAUGCAAGUCGAGCGAACUGACGAGGAGCUUGCUCCUUUGACGUUAGCGGCGGACGGGUGAGUAACACGUGGGUAACCUACCUAUAAGACUGGAAUAACUCCGGGAAACCGGGGC
This 168-nucleotide ribosomal RNA is filed under the name Staphylococcus agnetis. RNAcentral's name for it is "partial 16S ribosomal RNA". It matches the Rfam family "Bacterial small subunit ribosomal RNA", at positions 1 to 163 of the family's 1533-position model. The record is from RNAcentral. Lineage: Bacteria; Bacillati; Bacillota; Bacilli; Caryophanales; Staphylococcaceae.